GCUGGCGGCGCGCUUAAACAUGCAAGUCGCACGAGAAAGUGGAGCAAUCCAUGAGUACAGUGGCGUACGGGUGAGUAACACGUGGAUAAUCUGCCCUUUAGUGGGGAAUAACCCUGGGAAACCGGGGCUAAUACCGCAUAAGCCUGAGAAGGGAAAGCAGCAAUGCGCUGAAGGAGGAGUCCGCGGCCGAUUAGCUAGUUGGUAGGGUAAUGGCCUACCAAGGCAAUGAUCGGUAGCCGGCCUGAGAGGGCACACGGCCACACUGGCACUGAAACACGGGCCAGACUCCUACGGGAGGCAGCAGUGGGGAAUCUUGCACAAUGGAGGAAACUCUGAUGCAGCGACGCCGCGUGAGCGAUGAAGCCCUUCGGGGUGUAAAGCUCUUUCGACGGGAACGAUAAUGACGGUACCCGGAGAAGAAGCUGCGGCUAACUACGUGCCAGCAGCCGCGGUAAUACGUAGGCAGCAAGCGUUGUUCGGAAUUACUGGGCGUAAAGAGUGUGUAGGCGGUUCUCUAAGUUCGGUGUGAAAUCUCCCGGCUCAACUGGGAGGGUGCGCCGGAAACUGGAGGGCU
This 574-nucleotide ribosomal RNA is filed under the name uncultured bacterium. Its description in RNAcentral is "bacterial SSU rRNA". It matches the Rfam family "Bacterial small subunit ribosomal RNA", at positions 35 to 642 of the family's 1533-position model. The record is from RNAcentral.